RNAcentral lists this small nuclear RNA (80 nucleotides) under Macacine gammaherpesvirus 4 (Rhesus lymphocryptovirus). Lineage: Duplodnaviria; Heunggongvirae; Peploviricota; Herviviricetes; Herpesvirales; Orthoherpesviridae. The record is from RNAcentral.
GGGACCUACGCUGCCCUAGCGGUUCGGCUAGGGAGGAGAUUAGCGUGGUUUGAGCCACCCGUCCCGGGUACAAGUCCCGG